UAGGGAAUCUUCGGCAAUGGACGAAAGUCUGACCGAGCAACGCCGCGUGAGUGAAGAAGGUUUUCGGAUCGUAAAACUCUGUUGUUAGAGAAGAACAAGGACGUUAGUAACUGAACGUCCCCUGACGGUAUCUAACCAGAAAGCCACGGCUAACUACGUGCCAGCAGCCGCGGUAAUACGUAGGUGGCAAGCGUUGUCCGGAUGUAUUGGGCGUAAAGCGAGCGCAGGCGGUUUCUUAAGUCUGAUGUGAAAGCCCCCGGCUCAACCGGGGAGGGUCAUUGGAAACUGGGAGACUUGAGUGCAGAAGAGGAGAGUGGAAUUCCAUGUGUAGCGGUGAAAUGCGUAGAUAUAUGGAGGAACACCAGUGGCGAAGGCGGAUCUCUGGUCUGUAACUGACGCUGAGGCUCGAAAGCGUGGGGAGCAAACAGG
Molecule: ribosomal RNA, 429 nt
Filed under: Gemmatimonadota bacterium
Lineage: Bacteria; Pseudomonadati; Gemmatimonadota
Description: Gemmatimonadetes bacterium partial 16S ribosomal RNA
Rfam family: Bacterial small subunit ribosomal RNA
Source: RNAcentral